This 329-nucleotide unclassified non-coding RNA is filed under the name soil metagenome. RNAcentral's name for it is "partial contains 5.8S ribosomal RNA, internal transcribed spacer 2, and large subunit ribosomal RNA". The stretch from base 1 to 120 matches the Rfam family "5.8S ribosomal RNA", at positions 35 to 154 of the family's 154-position model. The record is from RNAcentral.
GAUGAAGAACGCAGCGAAAUGCGAUAAGUAGUGUGAAUUGCAGAAUUCAGUGAAUCAUCGAAUCUUUGAACGCACAUUGCGCCCCUUGGUAUCCCGAGGGGCAUGCCUGUUCGAGCGUCAUUUCACCACUCAAGCCUGGCUUGGUGUUAGGCGACGUCCCCUUUGGGGACGCGCCUCGAAACGCUCGGCGGCGUGGCACCGGCUUUAAGCGUAGCAGAAUCUUUCGCUUUGGAAGUCGGGGCCCCGUCUGCCGGAAGACCUACUCGCAAGGUUGACCUCGGAUCAGGCAGGGGUACCCGCUGAACUUAAGCAUAUCAAUAAGCGGAGGA